Molecule: long non-coding RNA, 268 nt
Filed under: Elaeis guineensis (African oil palm)
Lineage: Eukaryota; Viridiplantae; Streptophyta; Magnoliopsida; Arecales; Arecaceae
Description: long non-coding RNA (EGUI_LNC014407)
Source: RNAcentral
AUGGCCAGAAAAUGCAGACAUGCCUUGGACACAUUUUGGAGACAAUUUUGAGGGGUUUUGAGACUCUGUUUACUAUCAGGACUUAAAGAAUUUCAGCAUCUAUAAAUAGAGGGGUUUGGUAAUAGAAAAAAAAAAGUAGAAAAGUAGAGAAAAUGGAGCAAAAAAAUAAAGAGAAUUAUAGGAGAUCUAAGGAGAAGAAGAAGAGAAGCCAAGCAUGCUCCAAAGAGUUUGAAGGAAGAAGGAGAGAUCAUUAACCAUCUUCUCGAUA